AUGGAAAUUAUUUUAGAAACUGUAUCUUUCUCUUAUGCAAGGGUUGUCACUGCAGAAAUUCAUGAAGGUGGUCAUGGUCUUGCUGAUAAUGCGCAAGAGGUUGAGGUUGCCGCUACAGAAAUUGAUGAAGGUAAUGAUGUCAAUAUUUUAGAUGAAGAUCAUGAUCCUAAUAUUUCGGAUGACAUGAAUAAUUCCGUUCAGCCUGAUAUAUUUGAUCCUAGAAAUUGGGAUGGACUUGCAAAUGAGGGUUUAAGUGACUGGAUUCAUCUUGGGGCUAGACUAAAAGAGCAUGAAUCAAGUAGAGAGCAUAUCACAAAUAUGACUGCAUGGUAUGACUUCCGUCUCAGGAUGCAGAAGAAUCAAACAGUUGACAAAGUUGCUCAGCGAGAACUUGAAAAGGAAAAGGAGCAUUGGAGAAAAGUUUUGCUCAGGAUUUUGUUGAUUGUAAAAUUUCUUGCAGAACAUAAUAUAGCAUUUUGUGGCAGCAAUAGCAAGUUGUACCAAGAGAGCAAUGGGAAUUUUCUAGGACUGAUUGAAAUGUUGGCUGAAUUUGACCCAGUUAUCAAAGAGCAUGUUGACCGCAUCACCAAUGAAAAAAUUUGUGAUCACUACCUUGGCCCUUCUAUACAGAAUGAGUUAAUAAACAUGCUCGCUACUGCCAUCAGGUCAAGAAUCAUUGAAAAGGUAAAGGAAGCAAAAUAUUUCUCAGUUAUUCUUGAUUGUACUCCUGAUGCAAGCCACCAAGAACAAAUGUCUUUGAUAAUUAGGUAUGUAGAUACAUCUUCUGCUUCUGUUUGCAUCGAAGAAUCUUUCUUAGGCUUUUUGGAGGUGAAUGAUACCACUGGGCAAGGUUUGUUUAAUGUUCUAGAAGAGGAGUUGAAUAAUAUUAGCCUUGAUGUGGACAAUGUGAGAGGGCAAGAUAACUUAAAGAAGUUGACUGUCAAGUCAUUGUCAUCUACUCGUUGGGAGAGUCAUGUUCAGAGUGUUAAGGCUAUACGGAUUCAAAUGCCAGAAAUAAGGGAGGCUUUACUACAAGUGGCUGAAACUGAUAAGGAUCCAUUGACAAGUAAUGCAAAAGAAAUUGCACUUGAGAUGGAUAUUCAUCCAGAGUUCCGCACCAAGCGGAAAAUCAAAAGAAGAAGACAAUUCGAUGAGGGUGCAGAUGAUGCAUCUAUUGCUUCACAAUCUGCAGAGGAGUCAUUUAGGGUCAAUUAUUUUCUACAAGUGGUCGAUCAAGCUAUAGUUUCACUUACCAGGAGGUUUGAGCAAUAUCAGGGGUAUGAAAAAACUUUUGGUUUCUUAUUUACUUCAGAUAGGCUGCGAUCUAUGGAUGAUAAGAGUUUGCUGGCUGCUUGUGUUAAUCUUGAGGAUGCACUUAAAAAUGGAGAACACAAAGAUAUUGAUGGAGCUGAAUUGUUUUACGAGUUAAUUUUUAUCCAGGAUUUAGUUAAGAAAUCUAUGGGCCGCGUUGAUAUUCUUGAGAUUCUAAUGAAGCGCCCCUUCUAUCCUAAUGCUAUUAUUGCGUGCAGGAUUUUGUUAACCAUUCCUGUAACUGUUGCAACUGCGGAAAGGAGCUUCUCUAAACUCAAGUUGCUGAAAUCAUAUUUGCGUUCAACUAUGACACAAGAAAGACUCAAUGGUUUGGCGACAAUAGCACUUGAAAAUGAUGUCUUGUCGAAGAUUAAUUAUAAAGAUGUAAUUGAAGAUUUCAUUUCAAGGAACACAAGGCGGAUGACACUUUUCAAUAGAGAAUGA
Molecule: ribosomal RNA, 1755 nt
Filed under: Triticum aestivum (bread wheat)
Lineage: Eukaryota; Viridiplantae; Streptophyta; Magnoliopsida; Poales; Poaceae
Description: partial small subunit ribosomal RNA
Source: RNAcentral